UCUAAUUUCUAGAGCUUUCUCUCUUCUCUCUCUUAGAUUCAUACAGCAGCAUUAAAUACCAUUAGGGUUCUUCAAUAAUAGGCAUUUCAAUCUAUUGGAAGGUAUAAUUUAAGACAAAUUAAGGAGGACAACCUUUACGUUGAAGAAUUCAAGUCUUAGCAAUUUGUAGUUAUGUCCAGCAAGGAAAGCUACUGCAAUUUUCUCCCUCUUGUGCUUGAGUUAAUUAGGACACUCGGUACAAGUACUAAAGUAGUUGAUUUUCCCAAUAGAAGCACAUUAUACUCAGCGGAUGUUGGUGCAGGUCCGAGAGAUGAUUGAUGAUUCGUUGAAGCGGUUUGGAUUAGCGAUCUCCAGACUUUGGUAGGUCCUCUUGAGUUUGAGGAUGUCUACGUUUAUUAUUCUAGCUUUAGUACAUUAGACAUAGCUAGUGGAUGUUUUCCCUAGCGUUUCAUUUCAAGCGUUUGUAUUAAUGUUGUUUGGAAAACUAUUAUUAUAUUAUGAAUUCUUCAUUUCAAUUGUUUAAUCUAUUAUAGAUGGUUGUUUAGUUUGAGUCGUAGCAUAUCACUCUUAUGCAGUAAUUACAUGAAGUCUAAGUAUACUUCAUUAAGUUUUAAAUAGUUUUAAAUUUUCCACAAAUUUAAUUGUAUGAUUGUGAUGAAAGCUAAGAAAAGGUUUGUCUGCGAUCUCUGAGAGGUUAACAACACCAGUCGCGUUCGGAUUGCAGAAUCCGGGUGUGACUGGAAGGACAAAGAAGAAGUGGAUCCAAGAUCAAGUUUUAUCCUUCCAAGAUUGGUGAACCAAAUAAAUGAGUUGGAGCAAGAAUCAUGUAAUAGACAUGUUCGUAUUAACAACUUGAGGAACUCUAAUUAGUUAUUAGAGAGGAGACUCAAUAGAAGGUUGAAAUGGUGUAGGUUCAAUAGGAAGA
Molecule: long non-coding RNA, 925 nt
Organism: Solanum lycopersicum (tomato)
Lineage: Eukaryota; Viridiplantae; Streptophyta; Magnoliopsida; Solanales; Solanaceae
Source: RefSeq, a predicted model, not a curated record